UACCUUACCCUGGCAAUGGGAGAUACCUGUGAUCAAGAAGGCGGUUCAACCCAGGCGGAGGCUAGCCAUUGCACUGGCGCUGGUGCUGACAGCUGCUAAUUUCCAAAAUGUGGAAUCUCGAUUGCAUAAUUAGUAAUGGUAAGUGGGGAUGCGUUCGCCGCUCUCUCCUU
Salvelinus sp. IW2-2015 is the source of this 170-nucleotide non-coding RNA. NCBI's taxonomy places the organism in Eukaryota, Metazoa, Chordata, Actinopteri, Salmoniformes, Salmonidae. The record is from RefSeq and is a predicted model, not a curated record.